Molecule: ribosomal RNA, 487 nt
Filed under: uncultured bacterium
Lineage: Bacteria
Description: partial 16S ribosomal RNA
Rfam family: Bacterial small subunit ribosomal RNA
Source: RNAcentral
GAUGAACGCUAGCGAUAGGCUUAACACAUGCAAGUCGAGGGGCAGCACAAGGUAGCUUGCUAUCUGGGUGGCGACCGGCGCACGGGUGCGUAACGCGUAUGCAACUUGCCCUAUACAGGAGGAUAACCCGUCGAAAGACGGACUAAUACUGCGUAUGCUCACAACUUGGCAUCAAGUGGUGAGGAAAGAAAUUCGGUAUAGGAUAGGCAUGCGUCCCAUUAGCUUGUUGGUGAGGUAACGGCUCACCAAGGCAACGAUGGGUAGGGGAACUGAGAGGUUUAUCCCCCACACGGGUACUGAGACACGGACCAGACUCCUACGGGAGGCAGCAGUGAGGAAUAUUGGUCAAUGGGCGCGAGCCUGAACCAGCCAAGUCGCGUGAAGGAUGACUGUCUUAUGGAUUGUAAACUUCUUUUAUACGGGAAUAACAAGAGUCACGGGUGACUCCCUGCAUGUACCGUAUGAAUAAGCAUCGGCUAACUCCGUG